Molecule: ribosomal RNA, 652 nt
Filed under: Naganishia liquefaciens
Lineage: Eukaryota; Fungi; Basidiomycota; Tremellomycetes; Filobasidiales; Filobasidiaceae
Description: eukaryotic LSU rRNA
Rfam family: Eukaryotic large subunit ribosomal RNA
Source: RNAcentral
AAGCAUAUCAAUAAGCGGAGGAAAAGAAACUAACAAGGAUUCCCCUAGUAACGGCGAGUGAAGCGGGAAGAGCUCAAAUUUGAAAUCUAGUAGCCUUCGGCUGCUCGAGUUGUAAUCUAGAGAAGUGUUUUCCGUGCCGGCCCAUGUACAAGUCCCUUGGAACAGGGCGUCAUAGAGGGUGAGAAUCCCGUCCUUGACAUGGACCCCCGGUGCUCUGUGAUACACUUUCAACGAGUCGAGUUGUUUGGGAAUGCAGCUCAAAAUGGGUGGUGAAUUCCAUCUAAAGCUAAAUAUUGGCGAGAGACCGAUAGCGAACAAGUACCGUGAGGGAAAGAUGAAAAGCACUUUGGAAAGAGAGUUAAACAGUACGUGAAAUUGUUGAAAGGGAAACGAUUGAAGUCAGUCAUGCUCUUUGGUAUUUAUAUCAUUGAGUGGGGUCAACAUCAGUUUUGAUCGAUGGAUAAAGGCACUAGGAAGGUAGCACUCUCGGGUGAACUUAUAGCCUGGCGUCAUAUACAUUGAUUGGGACUGAGGAACGCAGCAUGCCUUUAUGGCCGGGAUUCGUCCACGUACAUGCUUAGGAUGUUGACAUAAUGGCUUUAAACGACCCGUCUUGAAACACGGACCAAGGAGUCUAACAUAUCUGCGAGUG